This 2337-nucleotide ribosomal RNA is filed under the name Helicobacter cinaedi. RNAcentral describes it as "bacterial LSU rRNA". It matches the Rfam family "Bacterial large subunit ribosomal RNA", at positions 1 to 2363 of the family's 2925-position model. Lineage: Bacteria; Pseudomonadati; Campylobacterota; Epsilonproteobacteria; Campylobacterales; Helicobacteraceae. The record is from RNAcentral.
AAAAGCUUUUAAGGGCAGAUGGUGGAUGCCUUGGGUGAUAGAGGCGAUGAAGGACGUACUAAGCUGCGAUAAGCUAUGGGGAGCUGCUAAGAAGCUUUGAUCCAUAGAUUUCCGAAUGGGGCAACCCAAUACAUAGAGAUAUGUAUUACCUUUAAUGGAGCGAACCUAGCGAAGUGAAACAUCUCAGUAGCUAGAGGAAAAGAAAUCGUAAUGAGAUUCUCCUAGUAGCGGCGAGCGAACGGGGAAGAGGGCAAACCAGUAGUUUGCUACUGGGGUUGAGGACUGCAAUAUCCACUUGAAUAAUGUAGCAGAAGUGUUUGGAAAAACACAUCACAGAGGGUGAUAGUCCCGUAUGCGAAAUAUUAUUCAUAGGUAGCAGGAUCCAGAGUAGGCCAGGACACGUGAAAUCCGGGCUGAAGCCGGGGAGACCACUCUCCAACCCUAAAUACUACUAUCACACCGAUAGCGAACAAGUACCGUGAGGGAAAGGUGAAAAGAACCGCAGUGAGCGGAGUGAAAUAGAACCUGAAACCAUCUGCCUACAAUCAUUCGGAGCCCUAUGAUUUAUCAGGGUGACGGACUGCCUUUUGCAUAAUGAUCCUGCGAGUUGUGGUAUCUGGCAAGGUUAAGCACACGCGAAGCCGUAGCGAAAGCGAGUCUUAAUAGGGCGUUUAGUCAGAUGCUGCAGACCCGAAGCCAAGUGAUCUAUCCAUGGCCAAGUUGAAGCGAGUGUAAUAGCUCGUGGAGGACUGAACUCGUACCCAUUGAAACGGGUUGGGAUGAGCUGUGGAUAGGGGUGAAAGGCCAAACAAACUUGGUGAUAGCUGGUUCUCUUCGAAAUAUAUUUAGGUAUAGCCUCAAGUGAUAGUAAUAGGGGGUAGAGCUCUGAUUGGGCUAGGGCUGCUCACCGCGGUACCAACCCCUGUCAAACUACGAAUACCUAUUGCCUUAUCUUGGGAGUCAGGCGGUGGGUGAUAAAAUCAAUCGUCAAAAGGGGAACAACCCAGACUACCAACUAAGGUCCCAAAGUUCUAUUCUAAGUGGAAAAUGAUGUGAAGUUACUCAGACAACCAGGAGGUUGGCUUAGAAGCAGCCAUCCUUUAAAGAAAGCGUAACAGCUCACUGGUCUAGUGAUUUUGCGCAGAAAAUAUAACGGGGCUAAGAUAGACACCGAAGUUGUAGAUUCUAUGCUGGUGCAUAGAGUGGUAGAAGAGCGUUCGUAUCAGCGUUGAAGGCAUACCGGUAAGGAGUGCUGGAGCGAUGCGAAGUGAGCAUGCAGGAAUGAGUAGCGAUAAAAGUGGUGAGAAUCCACUUCGCCGAAAGUCUAAGGUUUCCUACGCGAUGCUCGUCAUCGUAGGGUUAGUCGGGUCCUAAGACAAGUCAGAAAUGGGUAGUCGAUGGAAAAUGGGUUAAUAUUCCCAUACCAACAUUAGUGUGCGAUGGGGGGACGCAUAGGGCUAAGUAGCGUUAGCUGAUGGAAGUGCUAAUUUAAAAGCGUAGAUUGAGAGAUAGGUAAAUCCGCUCUUGUAUUCGAAACUUGAAUAGCUUGUUGCGAUCUUCGGAUCAAGAUGAGUGCUACUGACGCCGUCGUGCCAAGAAAAGCCUCUAAGUUUAGCUAAUGUUGCCCGUACCGCAAACCGACACAGGUAGAUGAGAUGAGUAUUCUAAGGCGCGUGAAAGAACUCUGGUUAAGGAACUCUGCAAACUAGCACCGUAAGUUCGCGAUAAGGUGUGCCACAGCAAUGUGGUCUCAGCAAAGAGUCCCUCCCGACUGUUUACCAAAAACACAGCACUUUGCAAACUCGUAAGAGGAAGUAUAAGGUGUGACGCCUGCCCGGUGCUCGAAGGUUAAGAGGAUUCGUUAGCAGUAAUGCGAAGCGUUGAAUUGAAGCCCGAGUAAACGGCGGCCGUAACUAUAACGGUCCUAAGGUAGCGAAAUUCCUUGUCGGUUAAAUACCGACCUGCAUGAAUGGCGUAACGAGAUGGGAGCUGUCUCAACCAGGGAUUCAGUGAAAUUGUAGUGGAGGUGAAAAUUCCUCCUACCCGCGGCAAGACGGAGAGACCCCGUGGACCUUUACUACAGCUUGGCACUGCCGAUGGGAGCAUUAUGCGCAGGAUAGGUGGGAGGCUUUGAAAUCUUCACUCUGGUGGAGAUGGAGCCAUCCUUGAGAUACCACCCUUAAUGUUUCUGUCUGCUAACUGGCUAGAGUUAUCCUCUAGCAGGACAAUGCCUGGUGGGUAGUUUGACUGGGGCGGUCGCCUCCUAAAAAGUAACGGAGGCUUGCAAAGGUUGGCUCAUUGCGGUUGGAAAUCGCAAGUAGAGUGUAAUGGCAUAAG